UGGAACAUAGCUGAAAUGGCUGCCUGACCUGACUUAAAAAUUGGAUGGCAGUACAUCAGACUAGAAGAUUACAAGUAUUGAGGUGGACAAAAUGAAACCUGAGCCUACCAAAGCUGACAGAUUGCACAAGAAACACAUAAAUGCAGAUUGGAAGAUUCAUUCUCUGGAAAGUAGAAAAGGGCAUGUUAUUACAUACUGUUAUCACUGCCAUGACAGAAACCAUAUUGAGGAGCUGGUCCACCUGUAGGAAGAAUUGCGCUAUUGGUUGGAGCAGCACUAUUAUUACCCAGCCAUACACCAGCACUUAGUUUGUCAUAGGAAGCAUUUCUGAGCAGUUAUGGAGACCACUAACUAUGCAGUUGUUGCAGUGAAACUUGCACCAGUGUGUUUUCUGUGGAGAUAAAGAGAUAGUGUCCAGCAAUAAAGACCCAACUCAAGAUCUGACCUUGUAAGGCCAAUAUGAAAUAACUGUGUGGGAAAAUGGGAAAAACCAGCAGUCAGGAAUGCACGGAAAUCAUCAAAAGAACAGUGUUAAAUUAAUCUUGAAUAACUUGACAUCUAUUUUGUUUGACAUAUUUAUUCAUGGUGCAGUGAAAACAUUCUUUUUUUCUCAUGGUUAUUUAAAUUUAGAAUUGAUAGGAGGGAACAUCACUAUGUAGUUUCAUGUUCAUAGUCAGAUCAAAA
Mya arenaria is the source of this 684-nucleotide long non-coding RNA. RefSeq lists it as uncharacterized. Lineage: Eukaryota; Metazoa; Mollusca; Bivalvia; Myida; Myidae. The record is from RefSeq and is a predicted model, not a curated record. The transcript is spliced from 3 exons.